RNAcentral lists this long non-coding RNA (1239 nucleotides) under Ovis aries (sheep). RNAcentral's name for it is "lncRNA (ENSOARG00000026251.1)". The record is from RNAcentral. Lineage: Eukaryota; Metazoa; Chordata; Mammalia; Artiodactyla; Bovidae.
UGAGACAGAUUCUAUUAGUGUACCCAUUUUAUAGAUGAGGAAACAGAACCUUGGGAUGGGAAGUCAUUGGCCUAAGAUCACAUAGUGGAUGAGUGACAGACACAGGCUUUAAGCCAGGUCAUUCUGUCUCCAAAGCCUUAAGCAAGUCUCUAAACUUACUGCUCUAGUCUGGGUUCCCCUUAAUUAGCAGAGAAUUAGAAAGAGUUUGGGUGCAGGAUGUUUAUUUGGAGAAUGAUCUUGGAGGCAGGAUUGAAGGAGUUGGGAAGAUGGAAGAUGUCAGGAAGAGAGGCAAUGCCAACAUAAGGGUGUGUGCUACGCCUUCAGUUCUUAACUGCGAGACCUCUGGAAGGUUGGGGCAUUUAUUUGCUUGUAGCAUUUCCCCAGUGAUUAAGGACAGUUCCUGAGGGUGUUAAUUCUCCUGUCCUUUCAGUAUGUGUCCCAAGAGGGCUGAGUAUGCUCCAGAGACUUUGAAAAAGACCUUGAGUCAGAAAAGCAGAAAGAAGUUCAUGAAGUACUUUAAGACAAGGUGCUGUCAGCGUAAGUCUUAUGAACUGGACUCCACAGUAACACCUGAAAUCGCAGGUGAGCUGAGAGAUACGGUCCCGGCCAAGGAAGCUCUGCUUCACUUGCUGUGACUCAAGUUCAGUUUCAUUUCUUGCCCACCACCCCCUUGUGAGUUGGCUGUUAAGUUUUCUACCUCCCAGUGGGGAUGGACUAAGGUCAUCAAUUAUCAGCGACUCGACAAAGAACACCCAAGCAGGUGGUGACCUUCCAGCCUCCAUUUAUACAUCUGUACUUUGGGCUUCCUUUCUCCUGUGCCACACUCUGUUCAACCGAGUCUGAAUGAGGUUUCACGCAGAAGGAUGCAAGAAACCAGGUCAGGGAAAGCCCAGCCUUCACCCUCAGAACAGACGAGAAGGGAGUGAGACGGAAAUAUCACAACAGUGCUCAUCUAAAGAAGAACACACCAGGCAGACUUCCUCUAAGAUCUGUCCUCGGAAACAGGACAUCACUAUCUCUAGAAACAAAGUGCUGAUCAAGACCAGUCCUGCUGCUUCUUCAAUGGCCAAUGAAGGAGUUAUGAGAUUCAUUUAUGGAACUACACUCCCCCUUCAAAGCUCAGCUGCGGUGUGGAGCAAUGGAAAGAAGACUGGAUUCAGAGAACACCAGCUCCUUCACUCCCUUGCUAUGAUCAUGGGUAAGUUACACAAGUCCGUGAGUGAUGAGCUUCUCGCCUAG